GUUUCAUCAGUGUAAUGGUUAGCACUCUGGAUUCUGAAUCCUGCGAUCCGAGUUGAAAAAUCUCGGUUUAACCU
This is a non-coding RNA of Trichonephila clavipes, 74 nucleotides long. NCBI's taxonomy places the organism in Eukaryota, Metazoa, Arthropoda, Arachnida, Araneae, Nephilidae. The record is from the annotation of a GenBank genome assembly.